This 377-nucleotide ribosomal RNA is filed under the name uncultured bacterium. RNAcentral's name for it is "bacterial SSU rRNA". It matches the Rfam family "Bacterial small subunit ribosomal RNA", at positions 523 to 898 of the family's 1533-position model. The record is from RNAcentral.
AGACGAACCAUCCGAACGUUAUUCGGAAUUAUUGGGCUUAAAGGGUGCGUAGGCGGCCCUGAAAGUUGGGUGUGAAAUCCCUCGGCUCAACCGAGGAACUGCGCCCAAAACUACAGGGCUCGAGGGAGACAGAGGUGAGCGGAACUUGCGGUGGAGCGGUGAAAUGCGUUGAUAUCGCAAGGAACACCAGUGGCGAAAGCGGCUCACUGGGUCUUUUCUGACGCUGAGGCACGAAAGCUAGGGGAGCGAACGGGAUUAGAUACCCCGGUAGUCCUAGCCGUAAACGAUGAGCACUGGGUCGGAGGGUUCUCCAUAGCUUUCCGGCCGUAGCGAAAGUGUUAAGUGCUCCGCCUGGGGAGUAUGGUCGCAAGGCUGAA